CUGCCCAAAAGAGGGGGAUAACACUUGGAAACAGGUGCUAAUACCGCAUAACCAUAGUUACCGCAUGGUAACUAUGUAAAAGGUGGCUAUGCUACCGCUUUUGGAUGGGCCCGCGGCGCAUUAGCUAGUUGGUGGGGUAAAGGCUUACCAAGGCAAUGAUGCGUAGCCGAACUGAGAGGUUGAUCGGCCACAUUGGGACUGAGACACGGCCCAAACUCCUACGGGAGGCAGCAGUAGGGAAUCUUCCACAAUGGGCGAAAGCCUGAUGGAGCAACGCCGCGUGGGUGAAGAAGGUCUUCGGAUCGUAAAACCCUGUUGUUAGAGAAGAAAGUGCGUGAGAGUAACUGUUCACGUUUCGACGGUAUCUAACCAGAAAGCCACGGCUAACUACGUGCCAGCAGCCGCGGUAAUACGUAGGUGGCAAGCGUUAUCCGGAUUUAUUGGGCGUAAAGGGAACGCAGGCGGUCUUUUAAGUCUGAUGUGAAAGCCUUCGGCUUAACCGGAGUAGUGCAUUGGAAACUGGGAGACUUGAGUGCAGAAGAGGAGAGUGGAACUCCAUGUGUAGCGGUGAAAUGCGUAGGUAUAUGGAAGAACACCAGUGGCGAAAGCGGCUCUCUGGUCUGUAACUGACGCUGAGGUUCGAAAGCGUGGGUAGCAAACAGGAUUAGAUACCCUGGUAGUCCACGCCGUAAAC
Molecule: ribosomal RNA, 694 nt
Filed under: uncultured bacterium
Lineage: Bacteria
Description: bacterial SSU rRNA
Rfam family: Bacterial small subunit ribosomal RNA
Source: RNAcentral